UUAAUACCAGAUACUCCCUACGGGGGAAAGAUUUAUCGCUAAGAGAUCAGCUUAUGUCCUAUCAGCUUGUUGGUAAGGUAAUGGCUUACCAAGGCUAUGACGGGUAUCCGGCCUGAGAGGGUGAACGGACACACUGGAACUGAGACACGGUCCAGACUCCUACGGGAGGCAGCAGUAGGGAAUAUUGCUCAAUGGGGGAAACCCUGAAGCAGCAACGCCGCGUGGAGGAUGAAGGUUUUAGGAUUGUAAACUCCUUUUGUUAGAGAAGAUAAUGACGGUAUCUAACGAAUAAGCACCGGCUAACUCCGUGCCAGCAGCCGCGGUAAUACGGAGGGUGCAAGCGUUACUCGGAAUCACUGGGCGUAAAGAGCGCGUAGGCGGGAUAGUCAGUCAGGUGUGAAAUCCUAUGGCUUAACCAUAGAACUGCAUUUGAAACUACUAUUCUAGAGUGUGGGAGAGGUAGGUGGAAUUCUUGGUGUAGGGGUAAAAUCCGUAGAGAUCAAGAGGAAUACUCAUUGCGAAGGCGACCUGCUGGAACAUUACUGACGCUGAUUGCGCGAAAGCGUGGGGAGCAAACAGGAUUAGAUACCCUGGUAGUCCACGCCCUAAACGAUGGAUGCUAGUUGUUGGAGGGCUUAGUCUCUCCAGUAAUGCAGCUAACGCAUUAAGCAUCCCGCCUGGGGAGUACGGUCGCAAGAUUAAAACUCAAAGGAAUAGACGGGGACCCGCACAAGCGGUGGAGCAUGUGGUUUAAUUCGAAGAUACACGAAGAACCUUACCUAGGCUUGACAUUGAGAGAAUCCGCUAGAAAUAGUGGAGUGUCUGGCUUGCUAGACCUUGAAAACAGGUGCUGCACGGCUGUCGUCAGCUCGUGUCGUGAGAUGUUGGGUUAAGUCCCGCAACGAGCGCAACCCCCUUUCUUAGUUGCUAACAGGUCAUGCUGAGAACUCUAAGGA
This 956-nucleotide ribosomal RNA is filed under the name Helicobacter pylori. RNAcentral describes it as "bacterial SSU rRNA". It matches the Rfam family "Bacterial small subunit ribosomal RNA", at positions 163 to 1146 of the family's 1533-position model. Lineage: Bacteria; Pseudomonadati; Campylobacterota; Epsilonproteobacteria; Campylobacterales; Helicobacteraceae. The record is from RNAcentral.